UGGACAAAUUACUGUAUUCGACUGUAUUCACGGCGUGAAACAGGAGAUUACAUUGUUUUAAAACGGAAAGUGUAUCAAUUAACAUAAUAGACUACU
Molecule: microRNA precursor, 96 nt
Organism: Nicotiana attenuata
Lineage: Eukaryota; Viridiplantae; Streptophyta; Magnoliopsida; Solanales; Solanaceae
Rfam family: MIR6152 microRNA precursor family
Source: Rfam